This 67-nucleotide transfer RNA is filed under the name Brama japonica. Its description in RNAcentral is "tRNA-Cys". Lineage: Eukaryota; Metazoa; Chordata; Actinopteri; Scombriformes; Bramidae. The record is from RNAcentral. RNAcentral also lists the same sequence under 3 other names.
AGCUCCGAGGUGUUUGUCACAGCAGAUUGCAAAUCUUCAGGAGCCGGCUAGUUGCCGGCCGGGGCUU